AUACGUAGUGAUAAAUGGUAGGCAGGGAAAACUAGACUGUAUAGGAAUUCUUUGCAAGUGGAUGAAAAUGUUCAUAAAUUGCAUCAGUGGUUAUAGAAUGAUGAAUAUAGUAAGUGGGUGAAUGUCAUGGUAUGUGAAUUAAAUCUCAGAGAAAUUCAAAACCAUAGGAAUGUGGACAUUAGGCAGAUGUCCACAUGUUAACAUGAGUGACUUCUAACUUACGGCACAUCCAUUUCGGAGGGUAUUAUGAAGCCAUUCAAACAGUAGACUACAUCUAGGAAUAUAUUGUGACCUGUACUCAUAGUCAAGAUUUUAUAUUAAGUUAUAAACUAAGAUACAUGUAUGUAUGUAUGUAUUAUGUAUGUAUUAUGUAUAAGAUGUAUGUUAACUUUUUAAGCAAAUAGUUCAUGUGUAUAGUUUAUAGAGAUAAUUUCAAAACAAGCGUAGGAAUGAAAUAGGAAAUGUAUAUAACAGGCUGUAAACCUUCCGCAAGUGGCUCGGUGCGAGCUCAAAGCAAACCCCCUCAACCUUGUAACCAUUUUCAGGUGGCAGGUUUCGAGUGCUUUUUACCUUUUUCACUAGUUUUUAAUUAAAGUAAUUUUUAAAUAUUCUUACAAACACUCAGCUUCCAAAAUAUCCGUCAGACCUACUCUGAGGCUUUCUGACUUUACUCAGGACAAACUUCCAUUCAUUUGCUACAUUGCUCACAUGAAUAAUGCUCCAAUUUUUCAUAGACUCUAAGGGAUGGAAAGGGAAGGAUCCUGGUUACAGCCUCCUGCACAUGUUACCCUGAGAUACACUUCUCAGCCAGGUUUCCCAGAAGGGACUGCUUCCUCUCAGGUGGGAAACCUUACCUCCUCUUUACUAGACCUGCAGACCACUUCAAAAAUGGAGAAAAUCUACUAGAGGAUACCUUUCACCUGGUGCAGAGAUCUAGAAACUGGUGUAUCCAGACAACAAAAUUCUACUCAGCAAUAAAACUAAGGAACCAUAUAUGCAACAACUUGGAUAAAUCUGAAAUGUAUCUUGCUAAGUAGAAGAAGCCAGACUCAAACGGCUGCUUACUGUUCUAUUUCAUUUGUGUUUUCUGGGACGGACGAAGCAAUAAGGCAGAAAAAGCAGUAGACACCAAGUUUUGGCACAAGGGAUUUUUUUUUAAUAAUAGGAACUUUCUGUGUGAUAUUUAUUGUUACAAUGUAUAUGUGUUUGUUAAAACUCCGAGAAUUAUACACCAAAAGACUGAAUUUUAAUGUGUGAAUUUUUUAAAAUAAAAGUAAUUUUUAAUGAAAUAAA
RNAcentral lists this long non-coding RNA (1293 nucleotides) under Rattus norvegicus (Norway rat). Its description in RNAcentral is "long non-coding RNA NONRATT018176". The record is from RNAcentral. Lineage: Eukaryota; Metazoa; Chordata; Mammalia; Rodentia; Muridae.